Molecule: ribosomal RNA, 253 nt
Filed under: uncultured bacterium
Lineage: Bacteria
Description: partial 16S ribosomal RNA
Rfam family: Bacterial small subunit ribosomal RNA
Source: RNAcentral
GACAGAGGGUGCAAACGUUGUCCGGAGUUACUGGGCGUAAAGCGCGCGCAGGCGGCGGUGUUGGCCCGGCGUGAAAGCCCCCGGCUCAACCGGGGAGAGUCGUCGGGGACCGCACCGCUUGAGGGCGGUAGGGGCUGGUGGAAUGCCUGGUGUAGUGGUGAAAUGCGUAGAGAUCAGGCAGAACACCUGGGGCGAAGGCGGCCAGCUGGGCCGUCCCUGACGCUGAGGCGCGAAGGCGUGGGGAGCGAACGGG